CCUACGGGUGGCAGCAGUGGGGAAUAUUGGACAAUGGGGGCAACCCUGAUCCAGCCAUGCCGCGUGUGUGAAGAAUGCCCUCGGGUUGUAAAGCACUUUCAGUGAGGAAGAACGCCUGGUGGUUAAUACCCAUCAGGAAAGACAUCACUCACAGAAGAAGCACCGGCUAACUCCGUGCCAGCAGCCGCGGUAAUACGGAGGGUGCGAGCGUUAAUCGGAAUUACUGGGCGUAAAGCGCGCGUAGGUGGCUUGAUAAGCCGGUUGUGAAAGCCCCGGGCUCAACCUGGGAACGGCAUCCGGAACUGUCAAGCUAGAGUGCAGGAGAGGAAGGUAGAAUUCCCGGUGUAGCGGUGAAAUGCGUAGAGAUCGGGAGGAAUACCAGUGGCGAAGGCGGCCUUCUGGACUGACACUGACACUGCGGUGCGAAAGCGUGGGUAGCAAACAGGAUUAGAUACCCUAGUAGUC
Molecule: ribosomal RNA, 465 nt
Filed under: Vreelandella stevensii
Lineage: Bacteria; Pseudomonadati; Pseudomonadota; Gammaproteobacteria; Oceanospirillales; Halomonadaceae
Description: partial 16S ribosomal RNA
Rfam family: Bacterial small subunit ribosomal RNA
Source: RNAcentral